This 139-nucleotide transfer RNA is filed under the name Penicillium salamii. Its description in RNAcentral is "tRNA-Undet". It matches the Rfam family "tRNA". Rfam says of the family: Transfer RNA (tRNA) molecules are approximately 80 nucleotides in length. Their secondary structure includes four short double-helical elements and three loops (D, anti-codon, and T loops). Lineage: Eukaryota; Fungi; Ascomycota; Eurotiomycetes; Eurotiales; Aspergillaceae. The record is from RNAcentral.
GAGCCCAGGUGGUCUAAUGGUAAGGCGCCCGUAAGUACCUCCAGACCUUCAUCGGGGUGAGCUAACAUUUGGGUUGGCAAUAACUUUGAAAGGAGGGUGGAGACUCGGGAGAUCUGGGUUCGAAUCUCAGCCUGGGCAC